AAGUCGUACCAAGGUUUCCGUAGGUGAACCUGCGGAAGGAUCAUUACCGAGUAAAGGUUACUGUUAAUCCAGUACCAACUCCCCACCCUUUGUGUAUCAAACUUGUUCAUUCUUUGGCAAAGCGUUUAGUUUUGCUAAACCGCUGAUGACGAAAGUCAUGGGUGAGCCUUUGCCAAAGGUAUAUUAUAAACACUUGAAAAACGAUUGUCUGAGAAAAGAUUGAAAAUAAAUCAAAA
Molecule: unclassified non-coding RNA, 236 nt
Filed under: plant metagenome
Description: partial contains small subunit ribosomal RNA and internal transcribed spacer 1
Rfam family: Eukaryotic small subunit ribosomal RNA (bases 1-46)
Source: RNAcentral